This 303-nucleotide ribosomal RNA is filed under the name uncultured bacterium. RNAcentral describes it as "bacterial SSU rRNA". It matches the Rfam family "Bacterial small subunit ribosomal RNA", at positions 355 to 655 of the family's 1533-position model. The record is from RNAcentral.
UGAGGAAUAUUGGUCAAUGGGCGGAAGCCUGAACCAGCCAAGUCGCGUGAGGGAAUAAGGCCCUACGGGUCGUAAACCUCUUUUGCCGGGGAGCAAGGGCCGGGACGAGUCCCGGUCCGGAGAGUACCCGGAGAAAAAGCAUCGGCUAACUCCGUGCCAGCAGCCGCGGUAAUACGGAGGAUGCGAGCGUUAUCCGGAUUUAUUGGGUUUAAAGGGUGCGUAGGCGGGCUUUUAAGUCAGCGGUAAAAAUUCGGGGCUCAACCCCGUCCGGCCGUUGAAACUGGGGGCCUUGAGUGGGCGAGA